This is a long non-coding RNA of Dipodomys ordii (Ord's kangaroo rat), 278 nucleotides long. RefSeq lists it as uncharacterized. Lineage: Eukaryota; Metazoa; Chordata; Mammalia; Rodentia; Heteromyidae. The transcript has 3 exons. The record is from RefSeq and is a predicted model, not a curated record.
CGCCGGGAACCUAAGCUAGAGCUGCAGGACAUUAUGGCUCCUGCUAGGUCUCAAAGAGGAAAGAUGGACAGAAUGGACAACUGCUUGGGGACAACCCUGUUGUCUUCCGACCUGAACCAAUUCUGACUCCUUAGAACUCUCAGCAUGCAUCAUUGGCCACUGACUCACAGUUGCAGCAGAGACCACUGGUCUCACCGAGUGCACUGAAGACUAAAAAUAUCUAGGAAGUGGCCUCCUGGAGCCCCGUCCUAGGGAGAACAUCUUUAUUGGGCCUGAUG